RNAcentral lists this ribosomal RNA (2668 nucleotides) under Cronobacter sakazakii. RNAcentral describes it as "bacterial LSU rRNA". It matches the Rfam family "Bacterial large subunit ribosomal RNA". Lineage: Bacteria; Pseudomonadati; Pseudomonadota; Gammaproteobacteria; Enterobacterales; Enterobacteriaceae. The record is from RNAcentral.
UUAAGCGAACAAGCGUACACGGUGGAUGCCCUGGCAGUCAGAGGCGAUGAAGGACGUGCUAAUCUGCGAAAAGCGCCGGUAAGGUGAUAUGAACCGUUAUAACCGGCGAUGUCCGAAUGGGGAAACCCGGUGCACUUCGGUGCAUCAUCGUUAGCUGAAUACAUAGGCUAACGAGGCGAACCGGGGGAACUGAAACAUCUAAGUACCCCGAGGAAAAGAAAUCAACCGAGAUUCCCCCAGUAGCGGCGAGCGAACGGGGAACAGCCCAGAGCCUGAAUCAGCUUGUGUGUCAGUGGAACGGUCUGGAAAGGCCGGCGAUACAGGGUGACAGCCCCGUACACGAAGGCACACAGGCUGUGAGCUCGAUGAGUAGGGCGGGACACGUGAUAUCCUGUCUGAAGAUGGGGGGACCAUCCUCCAAGGCUAAAUACUCCUGACUGACCGAUAGUGAACCAGUACCGUGAGGGAAAGGCGAAAAGAACCCCGGCGAGGGGAGUGAAACAGAACCUGAAACCGUGUACGUACAAGCAGUGGGAGCCUUCGUAAGAGGGUGACUGCGUACCUUUUGUAUAAUGGGUCAGCGACUUAUAUUCUGUAGCAAGGUUAACCGUAUAGGGGAGCCGAAGGGAAACCGAGUCUUAAUUGGGCGUUAAGUUGCAGGGUAUAGACCCGAAACCCGGUGAUCUAGCCAUGGGCAGGUUGAAGGUUGGGUAACACUAACUGGAGGACCGAACCGACUAAUGUUGAAAAAUUAGCGGAUGACCUGUGGCUGGGGGUGAAAGGCCAAUCAAACCGGGAGAUAGCUGGUUCUCCCCGAAAGCUAUUUAGGUAGCGCCUCGUGAACUCAUCUCCGGGGGUAGAGCACUGUUUCGGCUAGGGGGCCAUCCCGGCUUACCAACCCGAUGCAAACUGCGAAUACCGGAGAAUGUUAUCACGGGAGACACACGGCGGGUGCUAACGUCCGUCGUGAAGAGGGAAACAACCCAGACCGCCAGCUAAGGUCCCAAAGUCAUGGUUAAGUGGGAAACGAUGUGGGAAGGCCCAGACAGCCAGGAUGUUGGCUUAGAAGCAGCCAUCAUUUAAAGAAAGCGUAAUAGCUCACUGGUCGAGUCGGCCUGCGCGGAAGAUGUAACGGGGCUAAACCAUGCACCGAAGCUGCGGCAGCGACGCUUAUGCGUUGUUGGGUAGGGGAGCGUUCUGUAAGCCUGCGAAGGUGUGCUGUGAGGCAUGCUGGAGGUAUCAGAAGUGCGAAUGCUGACAUAAGUAACGAUAAAGCGGGUGAAAAGCCCGCUCGCCGGAAGACCAAGGGUUCCUGUCCAACGUUAAUCGGGGCAGGGUGAGUCGACCCCUAAGGCGAGGCCGAAAGGCGUAGUCGAUGGGAAACAGGUUAAUAUUCCUGUACUUGGUGUUACUGCGAAGGGGGGACGGAGAAGGCUAUGUCGGCCGGGCGACGGUUGUCCCGGUUUAAGCGUGUAGGCUGACUUUCCAGGCAAAUCCGGAAAGUUAAGGCUGAGGCGUGAUGACGAGGCACUACGGUGCUGAAGUGACAAAUGCCCUGCUUCCAGGAAAAGCCUCUAAGCAUCAGGUAACAUCAAAUCGUACCCCAAACCGACACAGGUGGUCAGGUAGAGAAUACCAAGGCGCUUGAGAGAACUCGGGUGAAGGAACUAGGCAAAAUGGUGCCGUAACUUCGGGAGAAGGCACGCUGACAUGUAGGUGAAGCCCCUGCGGGUGGAGCUGAAGUCAGUCGAAGAUACCAGCUGGCUGCAACUGUUUAUUAAAAACACAGCACUGUGCAAACACGAAAGUGGACGUAUACGGUGUGACGCCUGCCCGGUGCCGGAAGGUUAAUUGAUGGGGUUAUCGCAAGAGAAGCUCCUGAUCGAAGCCCCGGUAAACGGCGGCCGUAACUAUAACGGUCCUAAGGUAGCGAAAUUCCUUGUCGGGUAAGUUCCGACCUGCACGAAUGGCGUAAUGAUGGCCAGGCUGUCUCCACCCGAGACUCAGUGAAAUUGAACUCGCUGUGAAGAUGCAGUGUACCCGCGGCAAGACGGAAAGACCCCGUGAACCUUUACUACAGCUUGACACUGAACAUUGAGCCUUGAUGUGUAGGAUAGGUGGGAGGCUUUGAAGCGUGGACGCCAGUCUGCGUGGAGCCGACCUUGAAAUACCACCCUUUAAUGUUUGAUGUUCUAACCUGGCGCCGUGAUCCGGCGUGGGGACAGUGUCUGGUGGGUAGUUUGACUGGGGCGGUCUCCUCCCAAAGUGUAACGGAGGAGCACGAAGGUCAGCUAAUCCUGGUCGGACAUCAGGAGGUUAGUGCAAUGGCAUAAGCUGGCUUGACUGCGAGAGUGACGGCUCGAGCAGGUGCGAAAGCAGGUCAUAGUGAUCCGGUGGUUCUGUAUGGAAGGGCCAUCGCUCAACGGAUAAAAGGUACUCCGGGGAUAACAGGCUGAUACCGCCCAAGAGUUCAUAUCGACGGCGGUGUUUGGCACCUCGAUGUCGGCUCAUCACAUCCUGGGGCUGAAGUAGGUCCCAAGGGUAUGGCUGUUCGCCAUUUAAAGUGGUACGCGAGCUGGGUUUAGAACGUCGUGAGACAGUUCGGUCCCUAUCUGCCGUGGGCGCUGGAGAAUUGAGGGGGGCUGCUCCCAGUACGAGAGGACCGGAG